Molecule: long non-coding RNA, 631 nt
Organism: Homo sapiens (human)
Lineage: Eukaryota; Metazoa; Chordata; Mammalia; Primates; Hominidae
Source: Ensembl
UUGCUCUACCCCAGGGAAAUGGGGGCCGCCCGUCUCCCUGCCUGGCUGUCUGCCCGCCUGGCUACGAUGUGUGCAAGGCUGGCCUCCCAUCUCCCCGCCUGGCUGCGAUGUGUGCAAGGCUGGCCUCCUGUCUCCCUGCCUGGCUGUGAUGUGUGCAAGGCCGGCCUCCCGUCUCCCCGCCUGGCUGUCUAACCGCCUUGGCCUCCUGUCUCCCUGCCUGGCUGCGAUGUGUGCAAGGCCGGCCUCUUUCUCUGGACGUGGUGCUUCAAGGUGCAUCCUGGGAGUGUAGGUCAGCACUUCCUCUUCGGGGCUGAGGACUAGUCCACCCUGCAGAUUCACUGCACAGAGUCUGUCCAUUCUCGUGCAUUCUUUGAAACAGUGCCAUGUUGUGAGACACAACAAGCCGCACGUGUGUAAAGCGUGCAGUUCGAUGAGCUUUGGCGCAUGUGCACAGCUGCCAAGCCCUUGCUCCAGCUAGGAUGACGAGCGUGUUCACCCCUCCAUGCUGCGUGGCUGCAUCAAGCGCCCUGAUAAUUUCCCCCCUCAUUCCCUUUGGGCUUCAGACAGCAAGGGGAGGACAGAGGCUGUUGUUCCUUCCCUCUAGCGCUAGUAAAUCAGCUUCAUUUUUUAA